This 207-nucleotide ribosomal RNA is filed under the name uncultured bacterium. RNAcentral describes it as "partial 16S ribosomal RNA". It matches the Rfam family "Bacterial small subunit ribosomal RNA", at positions 568 to 774 of the family's 1533-position model. The record is from RNAcentral.
CGUGCAGGUGGUUUGGUAAGUUGGAUGUGAAAUCUCCCGGCUCAACUGGGAGAGGUCGUUCAAAACUGCUGGACUAGAGGACGGUAGAGGAGAGUGGAAUUCCCGGUGUAGUGGUGAAAUGCGUAGAUAUCGGGAGGAACACCAGUGGCGAAAGCGACUUUCUGGCCCGUUCCUGACACUAAGACGCGAAAGCUAGGGUAGCAAACG